AUGGAGGUGUUGUGCACACCUGAGUGUGUGUGCAGGCGAAAGGGUGAACUUGCUCCCUGGAAACACCACCCCCAGACCUUUCCGAACCCCAUCCACAAUAACCAAUAUUUCUCUAGUGCAGUGGACACAAGGCUUUCCACAUCUCAGUCUCCCUGGGCAGCAAGUGAGGCUGAUACCAUUGGGAUCUCCGUUUUAACAGGAAAAGAGACCUGGGCCGCGUAUCAGCCUUUUGGGCUCAAUCUCGUGGCUGAACCACUGCUUUCCACAGUCAGGUGCUGUGCAGCUCUGAAUAGACCUUUCCAGUGGAAGGCUCUAGGGCUCUCCUGUGGAUGUUCCUUCCUGCAACCUGGAGGGCACGCAAGUCAGAGGUCCUUUGGGGCCAGUGGGCCGGUGCUGAGCAGGUGAGGCUGCUCUAAUGGUUAUUAAACGUCCCAGCUGGUGCUGCGCGUCUAAGUGUGGCUGAGUGUGGGACCCACGAGGCCCUUCUCCCAUGAUUUCAGCCUGGUCUAAGGGCUCUGGGGGAGUGAGAGCUGAGGUUCAGGCAUCUCUUCCUUCAAACGGAUAUAUGGAAUAAUGCGGAAGAUGGUGGCGUGAGCCAAUGGCAUGAAGGAGCCAGGUGGAAGGAAGUUGGACUGUUUGCCUGCUGGGGAAAGGAAGGGACACUGCCGUACCCUGCUGCUGAAAGUGGGGUCCACGGGCCAGCAGCACUGUCACCACCUGGAAACCCUGUAGGAAAUGCAGAACCUCAGACCGACCCCAGAUUUAGGGUAUCAGAACCUGCUUUUUCAAAAAAUUGUUAAUGAGACAGGGUCUGGCUCUGUCGCCCAGGCUAGACUGCAGCAGCGUGAUCUCAGCUCACUGCAACCUCUGCCUCCUGGGCUCAAGCGAUUCUCCUGCCUCAGCCUCCUGAGUAGCUGAGACUACAGGUGCAUGCCACCAUGCCCAGCCAAUUUUUUGGAUUUUUAGUAGAGACAGGGUCUCACCAUGUUGCCCAGGCUGGUGUCAAACUCAUAGCCUCAAGCGAUCCUCCAUCCUCAGCUUCCCAAAGUUCUGGGAUUACAGGCAUAAGCCAUCAGGACUGGCCAGAGUAUGCUUUUUUUUUUAAAUUAAAUUAAAUUUUUUUUUGAGAUGUAUCACUCUGUCGCCCAGGCUGGAGUGCAGUGGCGGAAUCUCAGCUCACUGCAACCUCCACUUCCUGGGUUAAGGGAUUCUCCUGCCUCAGCAUCCUGAGUAGCUGGGAUUACAGGUGUGUACCAUGACACCUGGCUAAUUCUUUUUGUAGUUUUUUAAUAAGAUGACUUACAUGCGCUAAAAUGCUUGAGAAGCACAGUGUUAGUUAUCAACCCCAGGGAAGGUUUCAGUUCCCCCAGUCAUACUGAGCUUCUAUGGGGCGUUCCAAUAACUAAGAGAAAGAGCCUCUGACACAAGUCAGUGGGCAAAGCUCUAGACUUCAUUUCUAGCACUGUGCUGCCCAAUAUGGCAGCCAUGGGCCAUGUGUGGCUAUUAAGGUUAAAUGUAUAUUAAAGGAGAUGAAGUACAGUGAAACAUUUCAGUGCUUCGGUCACACAAGUCACAUUUCAAGUGCUCAGUAGUCACACGUGGCUUGUGGCUGGUAUAUUUGUGGCACCAAUUACUGAACAAUUCCCCUAUCACAGAAAAUUAUACUGAGCAGUGUUGGUCUAGUGUCUGACAGUGUAGCCAUGUGCAGAGAAUGACCCAACCCCAG
This 1726-nucleotide long non-coding RNA is filed under the name Macaca mulatta (Rhesus monkey). RNAcentral describes it as "lncRNA (ENSMMUG00000055633.1)". Lineage: Eukaryota; Metazoa; Chordata; Mammalia; Primates; Cercopithecidae. The record is from RNAcentral.